GGCAAAGCGGUCAGGCUGGCAGGCUGAGCGGUCACCGUGCAAAAAAGCUGGUUUGGGCACUGUUUCCUGGCUGGAGAGUUCAGGCCAGGACCCAGGACUUCAGGACCCUGGCCUUUGUGGAGGGCAAUACUCGUAACUACUGCGGGUCUUUUUCUCGCUUGUACGAUUUUAUUUAUGUUAAGAACUAGUUAAACAAAGGUAUGGGUGGUUAUUGCAGUCAGUGAACCCACGUGAAGGCACGUAAAGGAAAAGGUAUGAACGUUCUUGUGUCAGAGGCCCCUGGUACCGCCCCCAGGCCCUGCUUUCUAGUUUUGGGGUGCAUAUCCGGAAGUGGGAUUGCUGGGUCACAUUGUAAUUCCAGGUUUAAUUUUUAGAACUGUCCAGCUGCUUUCCUCGGCACCUGCCCCAUUUCGCGUUCCUGCCAGUGAUGCAUGAAGGGUCCCUAUUUUGCCACACCCUGGCUAAUGUUAUUUUCUGGGUUUUGAUAGUACAGUAUUGAUGGAUGUGUACUGUGGGGUCAUAAGAUUUGACCUGAAGAACCACCAUUGAGGGGCGCUGCCCGGCUGGCUCAGUCAGUGGGGCAUGUGACUCUUGAUCUCAGGGUUGAGUUAGCCCUACAUUGGGUGUGGAGCCUACUUAUAAACAAAACAAAAAAAACCAAAACACCACCACAAUAAAGUCAAAAAUGCUCCCUAGGUAGCGCCCCUCCACCCUUCUCCUCGGGCAUCCAGCCUGUCAGCCCUCGCUUGCUUCUCAGGGAAUUUGACCCCCUCGAGCCCAGGCUGUCUCCAGAGCAUAGACACGGGGCCUGUGAACAUCGUGGGGCCCAAGCCCCUGGGAUUGCCCCCUGAAGGGCUGGUCCGGGGCCUGUGUGAGCGGGCACGGAAUUUACGGGGAGGGUGGACAUGAUGGGGGUGCCAGCAGAGAGGAGAGGCUGGGAGCCCUGGGAAGGGGGACGGGCAGUGGUGCUCCCCUCCUGGCUUGCUGGAACUUUGCUCUUUGGAAACGGGCUCCCUUUCCUGGGCUGGCUGGCUGGCGCAGGCCCCGAGCAGACGCCCUCUCCUGCCCAUCUACACAAGGUGCACUGAGGAAAGGCCACGUGAGGACACAGCAAGAAGGCAGCUGGCAGUCUGCAACUCGGGAAGCAGGAACUUCCUAGAAACAAGUCCUGCCAGAACCUGGAUCUCAAUUUCCAGCCCCCAGAAUGGAGAACAUUUUUAUCCUGUUGCUUGAGCCACCCAGUCUGGUGUUUUGUAACGGCAGACUAACAGGACGGCUGUGUUCACAAAUGUGGCAUGUAUGUGCACGCUGUUUCUAGAAUUUUCCAGAACUGGGCAGGAGGGAGAGAACGGACUGUGUGCCACAGGUCCUUCUGUAUCUGCUCAUUUUUGUGACCUUCAUGUGAUGGGUUAACAUGCCUGCAAGGUCUGAGACUCUU
Molecule: long non-coding RNA, 1438 nt
Organism: Prionailurus viverrinus (fishing cat)
Lineage: Eukaryota; Metazoa; Chordata; Mammalia; Carnivora; Felidae
Exons: 2
Source: RefSeq, a predicted model, not a curated record